UACGGAGGAUGCAAGCGUUAUCCGGAUUCAUUGGGUUUAAAGGGUGCGUAGGCUGGCCAAUAAGUCAGAGGUGAAAAGCAUAGGCUUAACUUAUGCACUGCCUUUGAUACUGUAUAGCUGGAAUAUGGUUGCUGUGGGUGGAAUGUGUGGUGUAGCGGUGAAAUGCUUAGAUAUUACACAGAACACCGAUAGCGAAGGCAGCUAACCAAGAUGCAACAGACGCUGAGGCACGAAAGCGUGGGGAUCAAACAGG
This 253-nucleotide ribosomal RNA is filed under the name uncultured bacterium. Its description in RNAcentral is "partial 16S ribosomal RNA". It matches the Rfam family "Bacterial small subunit ribosomal RNA", at positions 524 to 776 of the family's 1533-position model. The record is from RNAcentral.